Molecule: ribosomal RNA, 245 nt
Filed under: uncultured bacterium
Lineage: Bacteria
Description: partial 16S ribosomal RNA
Rfam family: Bacterial small subunit ribosomal RNA
Source: RNAcentral
GACAGAGGUGCCAAGCGUUAGGCGGAAUCACUGGGCUUAAAGCGUGUGUAGGCGGAUCGUUAAGUGCUUUGUGAAAUCCCACGGCUCAACCGUGGAAUAGCUUGGCAUACUGGCGGUCUUGAGCCACUUAGGGGUCGCUGGAACAAACGGUGGAGCGGUGAAAUGCGUAGAUAUCGUUUGGAACGCCAAAGGUGAAAACAGGCGACUGGGAGUGUGCUGACGCUGAGACACGAAAGCCAGGGGAG